Molecule: ribosomal RNA, 497 nt
Filed under: uncultured bacterium
Lineage: Bacteria
Description: partial 16S ribosomal RNA
Rfam family: Bacterial small subunit ribosomal RNA
Source: RNAcentral
GACGAACGCUGGCGGCGUGCCUAAUACAUGCAAGUUGAGCGAUGAAGAUUGGUGCUUGCACCAAUUUGAAGAGCAGCGAACGGGUGAGUAACGCGUGGGGAAUCUGCCUUUGAGCGGGGGACAACAUUUGGAAACGAAUGCUAAUACCGCAUAACAACUUUAAACAUAAGUUUUAAGUUUGAAAGAUGCAAUUGCAUCACUCAAAGAUGAUCCCGCGUUGUAUUAGCUAGUUGGUGAGGUAAAGGCUCACCAAGGCGAUGAUACAUAGCCGACCUGAGAGGGUGAUCGGCCACAUUGGGACUGAGACACGGCCCAAACUCCUACGGGAGGCAGCAGUAGGGAAUCUUCGGCAAUGGACGAAAGUCUGACCGAGCAACGCCGCGUGAGUGAAGAAGGUUUUCGGAUCGUAAAACUCUGUUGGUAGAGAAGAACGUUGGUGAGAGUGAAAAGCUCAUCAAGUGACGGUAACUACCCAGAAAGGGACGGCUAACUACGUG